CCUACGGGGGGCUGCAGUGGGGAAUAUUGCACAAUGGGCGCAAGCCUGAUGCAGCCAUGCCGCGUGUGUGAAGAAGGCCUUCGGGUUGUAAAGCACUUUCAGCGGGGAGGAAGGCGGUGAGGUUAAUAACCUCAUCGAUUGACGUUACCCGCAGAAGAAGCACCGGCUAACUCCGUGCCAGCAGCCGCGGUAAUACGGAGGGUGCAAGCGUUAAUCGGAAUUACUGGGCGUAAAGCGCACGCAGGCGGUCUGUCAAGUCGGAUGUGAAAUCCCCGGGCUCAACCUGGGAACUGCAUUCGAAACUGGCAGGCUAGAGUCUGGUAGAGGGGGGUAGAAUUCCAGGUGUAGCGGUGAAAUGCGUAGAGGUCUGGAGGAAUACCGGUGGCGAAGGCGGCCCCCUGGACAAAGACUGACGCUCAGGUGCGAAAGCGUGGGGAGCAAACAGGAUUAGAUACCCGGGUAGUC
Molecule: ribosomal RNA, 465 nt
Filed under: uncultured Klebsiella sp.
Lineage: Bacteria; Pseudomonadati; Pseudomonadota; Gammaproteobacteria; Enterobacterales; Enterobacteriaceae
Description: bacterial SSU rRNA
Rfam family: Bacterial small subunit ribosomal RNA
Source: RNAcentral